Camelus dromedarius (Arabian camel) is the source of this 1512-nucleotide long non-coding RNA. RefSeq lists it as uncharacterized. The record is from RefSeq and is a predicted model, not a curated record. NCBI's taxonomy places the organism in Eukaryota, Metazoa, Chordata, Mammalia, Artiodactyla, Camelidae. The transcript is spliced from 5 exons.
CCGCGCUCGGCGGCUUCCGAGGCUAAUUCUGUGAACGCGGAGGAAGGAUGUGGCCCGGGUCGCUGGAACAUGAACGGGGAGUGAGGAAGGAUCUAACGUUCAUCCUUACAGUUUCACCGGUGUCUUCCUUCUUAAAUCUGGUGCUGUCAAAUCAUGGUGCAAUCGCAGUCUUCAGUUGGCUAGUGAUGCAAGAGUCCAGCAGAAACGAACAAAGCGUUAGGGAGAGAAUGGAACCUUAUGGAUGGAGGCAAGAGACUCAAAGGAAGAUGCCAGUGAACAGAAAGCCAAGUCCAGAAGAUAAAAAUCCACUUUCACAUCGCUACACUCCAGCACUCGGGGAGAAGGCGCCAACACAUCCCUGAAACACACACACACACACUCUCCACAAAAUGGCUGCAGGUUUCUGGACGCUACUGGUGUCAGAUCCAGGGAGCAGGACAUGCCCAGCGGGUACUCGACGCCCACCAGAAGAGAACACUUCUCUUUUGCUGCAUCCAGCGCAGCUCGGGACCGUGUCUGAGGACGGGCGACGCAGGACUCAAGAAACAGAGACAAAAUAAAGAGCAAAGAUGGGACCAGGGGCCUCAAGAUCUCGUGGCUCCAGAGCCCCGAAAGCCUGGUUGACAUCGUGUUUAUUAGGAGUAAACAGCUCAGAAAAAAACGCUAUCAAGAGGGGGGGCUUCAGCUACUCCAUGCGAUAAGCACUGCGUUCUGCUUGCUGGCUAACUGAUCAGUUUCAGGCCCAUCCCUUCCAGGAACAGCCACCCCGGGUGUGCAGAGUUUCUCAGUCUAUCCUGUUGUUGCCUCCGGGACAUCCCGAGGUAGCACAUACUCCCCCCGGGCUUAACCGCGUGCUCUCAUGCCAGAACCUAGUCCUGCUAGUGGACGACCUGGCUUUCCAGGCCCGUCCGUUGUUCCACACUAAGGAACUAUCUGCCCUCCUUCGAGCCCUCAUGGCCAGUCUCAGGCUUGCCCGCCACACAUUUUCUUUAGCCUAAUACGUGCUAUAGAUGUCACCUGCUGCCUAAAACAUUAAAACAAAGCAAGCGUGUGUGUUUGAAGCAAGCAGUUGUGAAUACAGUAUUUUAAGCUCAUGGAAAUUGAGGUGCGGCUCGUUUCCCAGCACUCUUUUGACAAGGGGUCGCUGCGAACUGCUUACAGCUUAAGCACAGUGGCUGGAAAGUUUUCAGAGACUAGCUCCAGGCUCUGCAGCUCUGCACCCUUGUUUCUCUUCCGCCGGCCCCAGCACUGUGCUGUGGGAGGUGACCCCACCUGCUUGUCAAGACACCAGGGGGCUGGCGCAGUGGGCAGGGGGACAUUCCAGGAAGUCCCUCCUGCAUUGGAAUGGUUAGCAACAAGGUAGGCAUGCAUGGCGCUGUCUAGUGUCACGAACACCCUGAUUGCCGGGAGCGUCCAGCAGCCCGGGUCCGGGCGGGGCUCCGGGGCCUCGUGUGCUCGGAAGGUUGCUGUUCCCUCCCUUGGAAGGUUUGACUCGUUUUCCAGAAGUGCCGC